This 17428-nucleotide long non-coding RNA is filed under the name Citrus maxima (pomelo). RNAcentral describes it as "long non-coding RNA (CMAX_LNC003223)". The record is from RNAcentral. Lineage: Eukaryota; Viridiplantae; Streptophyta; Magnoliopsida; Sapindales; Rutaceae.
GAUUUAUUGGAGCAGCUGUAAUUGUUACUGGUUUUUAUUCUGUGAUGUGGGGAAAAGCCAAAGAAGGGAACUCAGGUGUGGAAACUGGAGUAAGAAGCUUAGAAUCAAGCAGCCAAAAGGACCCCCUCUUGCAAAAAAACUUUGAAGAAACAUAAAAGUUUUGCAAAAGAGAAAAAGGCCUACAGAAAAAAAUGGGUAAUUUUCACCAUCUUUAUCUGGAAAAUAGAAAGAGGAAAAUGUUUAGAAACAUUUAUCUGGAAAGCUACCUCUGUGCAGAAAUUAAGGUUUGAGCUUAAAAUGGACUUGGUUUUGCUUAUCUUGAGGUCCAGCCCCACUGCCAAUUUAGUUGUGAUGGACCAGCUCUAGAUAACUUUCAUCAUUCAUCCUUUAAAAUGUUCUACCUUUAUAUAGACAGUCCUACAGCAUUUAAUCCAUGACCUAUGAUACCACUUCAACCGUAUACAUAUUUCUUUUUAUUAGAAAUUAUGGGUCAACAUGCAGAAUGUGAAGAUAAUUUCUGUUAAUUUUUGGCGCCUCUGUUCAUGAGGAGACAAUUAAUGCCUGUCUAUCCUUUCAAGUUAUUGAAGGAAUGAAUUAUAAUCUUCUCUACUCAAAACAUUUUUUUCUUUUUCUUUUUCUUUUUUGGUUUAAUUUGGUUGUCAACGCAUUGAAAAGCUUUUGUGUAAUGCUUCAUGUGAGUUUGUCGUACAGAAGAUCAUGUUCGAUUUAUUUUAUUUAAGACAUUUUCAAGUUCAACUUCCGAUUAUUAUUGUUGUUGUUAUUGGUAAACCUGAAGGUGGGCAAGAAGACUAUCAGGAGUAUGUAAAUGCGAGUGACAUGAAGACUUUGUUUUCAAUUGUAAUAUUGAGUCAGGAACAUGGGCGGCACCAUCAAGUUUGUGACGCUGCAAAGAAAAGUUGAGCUUUGGAGUUGGUCAAAACUCAAUCCAUCCUGUCUGUAUGGAAAAGAUUGUUGUGAUAGAUUAAGGAAAGUACAGCGCUAACUCCUAUGACUCCAAUUACUCUCUCAAGUGUAAUUAAGAAAAUGAAAGAUUGUUUAUGUAUUCAUAUCUCACUAUUCCAGACAAUUUAUGCGAGUUUGACUUGCAGGCACUUGCGAAUGGAUAUGCUUUAUGAAGAAAAAUCAAAUGCAUUUCUUAUGAGUGAGUUUUAGUCUCUGAAAAGAUGAUAUUUAACCACUGAGCCUCUGAUUCAGAACCUAAAAAAAUUUGUUAGUCGGUACCGAUGUCAAAGGAGAAUGCUUUAGCUGGCACACUCUAUACACCAUGGAGAUCCAAUCCUUUUCAUAUUCUUAUUGUGAGGGUCAAAGCCUUUGCUAAGAUAUCACAGCAACUCCUGAUGUCUGAUGUCAAGUGAAAGCGCAAAUUCUUCUGUAGAGUCGAUGGAAAAAAACAUUAAAGAUAAAAAUGAAAGCCUCUUGCAAGCAGUCCUUUUUGAGAAUUCCAAAAGCAUUUUCUGAUGCUAGUGUGUGCCGGUUGCCUGUGAUGUUAACUCUUUUGAGAUAAACAAGUGCCAUGUGUCGGCUGCAGUUUCCUUCUUGAGUCAUGCUCGUCUGUGUCCCUGGCAUGGAACGUGAUCUACGAAGUUCAUUCACCUUUGAUGCAUUGAGCCAGACAGAACCAGACAUCACUAAAUGCCACUAACCGAAAGGAGAAAUUAAACAGCGAAGCUAAUUAAUGCUCAUGAUCUAAGCUUAAUUAUAAUGAAUGGUUAAGAUUUAUCAAAAGUUUAGGAUCGAUCAUCAAUUAAUUAAUUAAUUGACUCUUUUGCCACUGAACUUGUAACUAGUGAUAUAAUCAUAUAAAAAUAUGAGUUCGAGUUUUAGAAGGCUCACUCUUAACCUUUGACUAAAAGGAGAGAUCUAUCUAAAUAUUAGUGAGAGAGAAUUUUUAAAUUAACGUAUAAUAAAUUUUUGAACUGUACUGAAAAAUGUGUGUAUAUAGAGAGAAAGGGGACUGUAAUAGAAUCCGGUUUACAAUAUACGUGUAAAUUGUAAUAAUUUGAAAAACAAAAAAAAAAAGUUAAUUGAAUCUUUUCUUGGACAUUAAUUAAUGCAACAAAUUCUGGGUCCAGCACAGAGGGCUGUGUGUGAUUCCAUCUAUGCACACUUCACUGUGUCCGGCAUCAAGUAUCAAAAAGAAAAGAAGGCUUGCGUAUCAGCACUAAUACAAAACAAAAGUUGAGGGGGGGCCAAGACCUUUCAAAUUAAUCGAUGAGGGUAGGGACAUUGUUAAUGUCCACCACAAAUCGUCCCUCAAGAAAGUACAAAACAUGCAUAUACUGGCCCCGCACUUAAUUUAAUUAGUCUUGAACAUGACCAAAUAUAGUAAAAAUAUUCAUGAUUAAGGGCAAGGACAAAUCAGAUGAAAACAUUCACGUCACAUUAUUAUUAAUCUCUAAUUAAUUGCUUAAGUUUUAAUAUUUUUUUACCAAAACACGACCAAUUUCGUUCCAAACAUGAAGCCACGUCGGCUUAUUCUCCCUUUGCAUAAAGAUUGAGUCACUAAAUCGAGUAGCUAUUUCUCGUACAAAGACAAAGUAGCUUCACAACUUUCUGAAAGGCUAUCUCUCUCUGUCAUUCUCCAAUUCUCAUUGUGGAAGCUCUUAGUUGGUGCAUUAUUGUUUGACUGUAAAUUAUAUCAGCAGUCAGCUAGUCAUCAGCAGGCUCCUAGCUAGAUCAACCCCUUCACUCAUAAAUAUAUACGAGAGAGCUAGCUUGUUGUACAUGCUUCAUUAGACAAAUUAAUUAAAGAGUGAAAGAUAACAGAUAUACAUACGAUCGAAUUAUAUAUGAUGGGACUAGUGAGAGGACAAAUGGAGGAGGAGAUGGUGCCAUUUACAUUGAUGGUGAUAAUGGAGGGUUGUACAAUAGGGCUUACUAUAGUGACCAAAACGGCCAUGAAUGGAGGAAUGAGCCCUUUUGUUUUUAUUGCCUACACAAAUGCUCUUGGAUCCAUUCUUCUUCUUCCUUAUUCCUUCUUCUUUCAUCACCGCGGGUCUGAGGCUGUGGCUGGGGGGAGGUUGUUACACAAUAAUCACCCCUCUUUCUCCUUUUUAAUUCUUCAUGUUCCAUGUACAACAUAACAAUGAAUUUAAUUUAAUAAUAUUCAUUAUAUUAAUAUAAAUAUCGUCGAUCGUCUGCCAUUAAUCUUUUUAAAUUAAUUUUGCUUGCUGCAGAAUAGAGCAGCCACUCUUCACCUUACCUCUUAUGCUGCGCUUCUUCUUCUUGGGCCUAACCGGGUCUGUAUAUUUCGUGGCCUCCCUUAAUUUUUUUUCGUUUUAAUUCUUUAACACUGCUACUGAUGGAUAUAUUUUUCGUACAAAUUAAUUACUUUCUGCCUUAAUAUAUGUUUUUGCUGCAGGGUAGCUAUUUCUCAGAACCUUGCAUUCUUCGGCUUGUAUUAUAGUUCGCCUAUCGUUGUGUGCGUGAUGGGCCUUUUGAUCCCUGCUAUCUCCUUCUUGCUUUCGAUCAUCACUAGGUUUUUCUCUUCAGCUUCAUUUACAUACAUACAUGCAUUUCCUCUGAAUUAAUUAUUCUUUUUCUCUUUUUUUUUUUCUCAAAUCAUCAUGAGCACGGGAUGAUAUCAACCAAUUUGAGAUCUUGAUAACAUUUCUUUGUUUUGAUGAAUUUUUUACAUGAAUACACUAACUACGUACCAUCUAUGCAUGAUCCAAAUCUAUUUCUCUGUUGCACUAUAUUUAUUUUAACAUCACUUACUUGUAUUAUUUUGCUCGUAUAUAUUAAAAUCCAGAUCCGAAAAAAAUUCUCGUUGAACAUAUAAAAUAUCGGCACCAUGGGCCAUUUCUAAUGGCGUUUUAGACCACCCAUUGGAACAAUUUAAUAUUAUAUAUACUAUAUAGUUCUCCUGUUUUGGGCUUAGCUUUAAUUAUAGAUGUCAACUUGGCUAUGUGUGGACUCAAAAGAGUCGAGUCCGAAGCGACCAUCAUAAAUAUAUUUCGACUACCAUAUGAUAUUUGGACAUGUAGACUUGUAGAGUAUGGUUGCAACUCCAAUAAUAACAAUAAUGAUAAUAACGUAAAUCCCAGGACAACAAAACUAGAUUGGAGAAGCUCAAGCAUCCGAGUCAAAGUAAUUGGCACCUUGAUAUCGAUCAUGGGGGCUAUAUAUGUACAGGUGUACAGAGGCCCAUUCAUAAGAAAAGCUGCUUCUGAUGAUAAACUUGAAGCAAAAAUUAAUCCACCACUCCUCAUUUUCUACUCAACACCAGACCGUUGGGUCCUUGGUUCCACUUUGCUUGCGGCUUCUUCUUUAUCUGUCUGCGUAUGGAACAUUAUUCAGGUAAAAUUAUUAAUUAAUAUUAUAUUUCACUGAUCUUAUGAUCAAUUCAUUCUCGUUAAAAUCGACCACAGAGAGAAAAGCGCACUGAAUUUAAUUGUGUAAUUCACAUUAAUUUGGUCAGGUGGGAACUAUCAAACAGUAUCCCCAAGUGAUGAAAGUGGUCUCUUUUUAUAGCUUGGCUGGGACUAUUCAGUGUUCAAUUUUCUCGCUGAUUAUGGAGAGAAACAUCAAUGCUUGGAAAUUAAAGCUAAACAUGGAGCUUCUCCUCAUUAUUAUAACAGUAAGUUAUUCAAAUAUAAUUACCAAAAUUAAGCCAAUCACUCCAAAGAUAUUAGUGUGAGCACCCUCUUUUUUUUUUUUUUUAAAUAUGAACAUGUUAUUAAGUCAUGUGGUUUAAUAGCAUUAAAAUCUAAAUCUAUUAAACUAUACAGUUUAAAAUGUGUCCGAAUAAAAAAAAAAAAAAAAAGGACGCCUAUAUUAGAAAAAGGCUAUAUAUAGAUAAUAUGAACUUAAUUAAUUCCCUUAUUUUUAAAGACACAUAUGGUUUGUUAAUCGUUACAGGCAAUUUUUGGGAGUGCCAUUCGUAGCACCGUCCAUGUCUCGUGUGCCAAAAUGAAAGGCCAUCUUUACGUGCCCAUGUUCAAACCAUUUGGAAUUGUUUUCGCCACCGCUUUUGGUUUAACCUUCUUUACAAAUUCUCUCCAUUAUGGAAGGUAAUACUUAUAUAACAUAUCGUUUAUAAUUUAUCAAGCAGGUGACAUGUCAGAAAAUGUUAUAUAUGGAACACGAGUAUACAUAUAUUUUCAGCACAUAUAUAACAUGUUGUAUUAUUUACUGAAUGAAUUAUUUAAAUAAAAUAAAAUUAAGUUUAAUUCUUUCAUAAUUUAAAAAAAUUACUAAAGAUAGCCAUAUACAUAAUGGUUAUUCUUAAUCUUGUUGGGUGUCAAACAAAUUAAUCCCUCCAAUUAAUAGAUGAAGUGAAAUGCAUGCAUGUACAGUGUGAUAGGAGCAGUUAUAACCGGAAUGGGGUACUAUACUGUAACGUGGGGAAAUAUCAGAGAGGAUGAAUUACUGCGUAAAGGCCAUAAUUCUAAAGAUGCUGCUGACGAUCAAAAGGUCCCUCUCUUGCAAGAAGAUUCGCAAGUCUGAAGAAGCUCUCUGCAAUUUGAACAUGCUCAAAGCAAAAACUUUAUUCAAGCUGCUUUUUCGAGUAAGUAUAAAAUUCGAUCUGCCACACACACAUAUAUAUAUUAAAAUUUUGACGUGCACCAGAAUUUAUUAACUAAUCUAAUACGUUCCUUAACUAUUAUUAAUUAUCUUGUUUUUAUUUUUACUUUCUAGUUGGCUUGAGUUGAGGGAGAUUCAUCAAGCCCUGUUGUAUGAUACGGAAGAAACGUGCGUGCCACCUGUGUAUCGACCAAAAAAUUUUAGAGUUUAGGAAGAUUGGUGUGUUCAAUUGUAGAUAUUUGGUUGAGAGAAAUGAAAGAAUAACAGUGAAGGAUUUUGCAGCAGGUUUUUUUGGUGUGUGCAAGGUCCUCUUGAUGUACAUAUAUUAGUCUUUGUGAAUUGUGAUUGAAUGAAAUUUUUCUCUUUUUUUUUUUUUUCCUCUCUCUCUCUCUGCGUAGCUGUUACUUGCUACAUACAACUACUCUGCCAAACACCUUAGAAUUGUAACUGAGGAUGAAUUAGAAAAUUUGAACUCAAAUUUUCAUUUUGAUAUGUGAUUUGUCUCUCAUUACGUAGAAGAUAAAUUUUUAUAAGUUUUAAGUGAAGUAUCACACUAUCUCACUAUUUAUAAAAUCAACGACACAUUAUAUAUAUAUAUAUAUAUAUAUAUAUAAAGAUAAAGCUGGGACUACAAGAGGUGAUGUGACAUCACCAUUUCUCAUAUUUGUAUAUUCUCUAUUAUCUUAUAAAUAGAGAAAUUUUCUUUCAAAUUUAGCUUUUCAUCUUCUCAUAAUUAAUUUGACUGUUAUUACACAAUCAUUAUGUAACAGUUUAUCAAAAGACUCACUAUUUUCUCUAAUUGAAACCUUCUUGAUCAUAAAUUAAGCAAUAAUUUAUAAACAUUUUUAAUCACUCUUCUCCUCUGCCUCACCUUAAUUUAUAAAUAGCAACAAAAAAUAUGAUAUCCCACAUAAACACAACAUAAAAUAACAGAAAAUAGCAAUGGCUCUAAAACAUGUGUUUUUCAUUUUGGCCCUCACUUGCCUGAUCAUGGCAAAUAUUGCAAAUGCAACCAGCAUGAGUGAUCGCCUCAACAAUAAUAUGAAACCAUGCUACGAUCAUGCAACAAGACUUGAAGCUAGCGGAGGCCUAACGGAGUGUUGGAACACGUUAAUGGAGUUGAAAUCAAACUCAAAUCAUAUCGUUAUAUUCUUCUUUAAGAGCUAGACUGAUAUUGGCCCUGACUGUUGCCGCACUAUUGAUAUCAUCACCCGUAAUUGCUGGCCUGCAAUGCUCACCUCUCUCGGAUUCACUGCUGAAGAAGGAAAUAUACUGAGAGGCUACUGUGAUGCAUUUUCUGCUCCUUCUCCAGGUGGCCUUGCGGUGAUAUAUCAACCUCAAAUUUCCAAGGUUUUGACUUAGACAAGGUGCAUUUAUGGCACUUCUAUUUCCGUCGUGUUAAUUUAGCUGAUGCAAUUUUAAGUAAUUAAAAAAAAUCUUUUUUGUUUUAGCUUUACUUUAUUUUUUUCAAGUUUUUUUUGGAAGUCUUGCCUCUUAAUCGAAUAAAAUAAAUCAUUAAAAGUAUAAUAAGGAAAAAAGAAAAUAAUAAAUUAUUUUUUCAAAGAUGCGUGAAGUGCGAUUCUAUUUCCUAGUUUUAAGAUAAAAUUUAAGAUAUUUAAUAUUAUUUAUUUAUAAUUUUCAACUAUUUAUAUUGAUACCAAUAUUAUAAAUCUAUAAAACCCUCCUCCACUCUUAGUCUCCAACAACCAUGUUAUGUGUAUAUAUAUAUUUGGUUGUUUCUUUCGUUGUUGAAAGUUUUCAUAUAAAUCUAUAAAAUGUGAAAGGUCUUGAGUGAUACUGAUAUCAUGCCACCACGUCGUCACCUUACCAUCCAAUUGGAUGACAACACAUAUACACUUAUCACUAAAUUUAAAAUAACCAACAUUACGUAUAAUUAUGUGGUGGUAUGUAAUUAGAUGAUGAGGUGAUGAUGUGGUGGAGUUCCUACCAUCUAAGACUUUCUCAACUUCUAUUGAGGCCACAACACUCACAAAAUUUUGGUCAAAUACUAUGUUUUUAAGUCCCUCAAAUUUGUACGAAUGAGCCUUUGAUCCAAUGGGAGAAGUCUUGCACUUAUAAUAUUGAGUGUAAGGAUUCGAGCCUCCAUCAGAGCAUUAUGAAAGUUAGUUUCAGUACUCCCUCAAUUAUCAACUAAUUGAGUAGAGAUAAUUUCUCACUUACGAAAUGUGAGUGGAGCAUUAUGUUAUUUGGUACAAUUGUAAAUAUUGUAAUUGUAAUGUCUGAUGUAAUAUCAGUAACAAUCUCUAUAUAACAGAAUAAAAAAAAAAGUCCUUCAAAUUUGUAAAAUAAUUUCUCAUUUACUUAUUUCAAUAAUUUCUUUAUUAUUUAGAUGAGUGAAGUCGCAUAAGACCCCUCAUCAUAAUUUAUUAUUUAUUUAUUAAAAAAAAUCUAAGAAAGUUAGGUUAGAGGGGGUCAACGGUUUGCUAUUGCCACAAGCCGGUGGGUUAAAUUUAUAGCCAGCACAAAUGCAGAAGGUAGCUGAUACACCCUUGCAACCGAAGGCUGUAGCAGUUGGGUCACACUCUUUGAGCGAGUGCCAGCUCCCAAAAUUUAAAAAGAAAUAGCAAGUCUGGAGAGAGAAGUUGAGAAUAGAAGAAGAGUCGAUAAGAAGAAGAAUUGAUUCAUUUCAGAUGCCCUUUACAAAAGUUGGUUAUGCUCUACAUAUACACCUCUAUCUUUACAGCUCAGCACACUUGUGGCAAAAAUGACAGCAAAGAAAUAACCCAGUGAAUAUAGAGUUUUAAAACAAAAAUCAAUUACACUACACGACAUAAUCAUUUAACCACCCAGGGGGCUUCCUUAUACGUGUGCUUUUCUGUGAUUCAUUAUGCUCUGCUCCCUCCUCAACAUGUGACAUGGUUUCUUCCUUGUUCUGCUCAUAAUCGGACUCAUCAUUGGGCUGCUCUUCCUGCAAAUAUUCUGGUUGGUUCAACUGAAUUUGGAAGGAUGUAUCAGUAGCCCAAGGAUUUAAUGUGAUGUCUAAUGUUGUAAAUGAUUCUGUGUAAAAUUAAACUACUGCACGAUGUCUGUAAUAAAAUGAUUGUGUGUAAAAUUAAAGUGCUGCCAUAAUUUCUAUGCCUUUGACGAAUUUUCGCAUCUCACCACACUGUCUUUUGGGGAAAUAGAAAAGCUCGGUAAUUGAAGUGAUAUGUAUUGGAAAAAAAACAAAAGAAAAAAAAUUAUGUUAAUUUCCCACUUCCAGAGGCAAUUCCUCAGAUACCAUAAUAAUUCUAUAAAGAGAAAUCAUGUAAAUAACAGAUUAGUCGAUAGCUUGUAAUUUUCGCGUGGUAAAAAUUAAUACAAACCUUUAUGAUAAAUGUAAAUAAUAAGGUUAUGGUUAUGUUGGAGUUGAUCUAUGAUGGAGUACGAAUCUCAACCACACACGCAAAGUGAUAAAUAAUAAAAAAAUCAUUGUAACUUUAAUCGUAUGUGUUUGAGGGAAAAAUAGGAAAGGCAGUAAAGCGCCACGUGUCGACCAAUGGAACGAUUCCAGCGUCAUUUGAGAUACUCCACACAAAUAGAGGUACCCCAUGUAAAUAGAGGUACCCCAUAUAAAUAGAGGUACCCCGUACAAUUAGAGGUACCUCACGUAACUCGAGGUACCUCCGAAAAUAUCCGCCAUAAGAAACGUCUCCGCCUCCUAAAAGAUAUUAUUUGAUUUUGUCAGAAUUAAGAAUCAAGAACGUCGUAUCAAAAGGGGGGGACAGCCGCCUGCUACCUCUGCCAAAAGUGAAGGACAUUGUCCCAAGGACAAUGGUCCCUAGCCGCCUACCCGACAGCUACUGCAGAGGUACCCCGGACCACUCUCCAACGCGCGCCACGUUUCCAAAAGAUGAGAUACGCCGCGAACAUGCACAUAACGGCCCCAAGAAUCAUAAAAGCGGUAAAAGGACGUUAGCCAAAAAGGGUACGUCACGUGGCAGCUAAGGUACUCCAUAUAUAAAGGCACCUAGGUUUCAUUCUCCAUCAUGCUCUCAUUCGCCCAAAAACACUCACACUAAAAAAAAAAGAGGUUUUCUUCAACCUUAAACCCUAAUUUACAGAGGGCUAGCUAGCUCUCUUUGCCAUAAAAGCUUGAGUUUGCUAACUUGAAUGUCGGAGUGUGAACGCCGAGGUACCCCGGCUUCACCUCUAACCUCUAUUUCACUGUUUUGCAGGCGUGAAGCUCAUUUUGAAGGACACCUCUCUUGUUUCUAACCUUCCACCAUUGUUACUACUCUCUCUCCCCUUCUCACCUCCCACGAAUCUCAGAUAUACCGCCCAACACACAAUAAACCAGUGAGGUACCCCAUCUCCCCAAAAAAUAUAAAUUCAUUGUUCAAGAUAGAUUUUGACUUUUCCUACCCUAAAAUCAGUUGAAAACAGUAUGGUUAUGAAGAAAUAUUAUACCUUAGAGCGAUUUUAAUAUAAUCAGACUCAAAUAAUAAAUGCGUAACAAAUGUAAAUAAUAAUGCAAGCACACAUGUCUUAUGUAAUUAAUAAAUGUAAUAUUAGGAAAUUCUUAGUAACUCUAACAAAUUUAAAAAGCCUAAAAUCAUUCCCCAAAAUCCCUUAAUAACCCAAUCAAAAGAAAUGACACUUCUUAUUUUCUUACUAACAAUGACCAUAACUAUUAAUAAAGAGAAUCCGAAGGGUUACACAGCUAGCCCUGCAACCUACUUAAAAGUCAAUGAUCAAUCCUUGAUUAGUAAUUAUAUUUAUGUAGAAGAAUGAAUAUCAACAUGCAGCUGAUAGGACUGGCAAAGUCAGUGAGUUGGUUGUCAAACUUUUCAAGAUUCAAUAAUUUAGAGCAGGUGAUAAUGCAAGCAUGAUGAUCUUCAUUCUUCUACAUAAAAGAUUUGUUUAUUUUAUAUUUAAUGUAAGAUACAUCCUUCAUAAAUUGAGCUGGACACUAGGACGGUAAAACUAUCGACUGAUUCAAGUAUUGAUGUCUGGAUUAAUACACCCAAAAAAAAAAAAAAAAAGAUUUCUUCUUCCGUUGAAUAUACCUUCCCAUGCAUUAUCUGUUUAGAUGACUACUUGAUUCGCUACAGAAUUUCAAAGUAUCUACCUACAGAAAAGAAUAUUAUGAUGGCUUAGAAUAUCGAGUAAACAUUUGAUACGUGUCAUCAAGAAAGUAAUCUUUCUGCCCCAAAUUCCAGAGCCCGCACUGGCAAUCGGAGCGAGAGAAGAGAUGGGAAAAGUUGGUUUAGCGCCGGUUAUUGGGAUGAUGAUGGCAGAGUGCACUCAAUUUCAAAAUUACUAAUAAAUAAAUAAAUAAAUAAUUUUAAAUUAUAAAAUUAUAAAUAUUAGUAAAAAUAAAAAAUAUUAAAAUAUUUAUAUUAUUAAAUUUUUAGGCCUAAUUAAUUAAUUAAAGUCCUAAAUUUUUAUUUAGGACAUUAAAAAGAUCGAGUAGAUUUUAUUAGUCUAAAUUUUUUUUAAUUUUAAUAUUCUUUAAAUAUUUUAAACUUAAAUUUAUUUUUUAUUUAUUUUUAGAUGUCAUAAUUGCCCACAGUGAAUCACAAUUUUAAUAACUAAUAUAAUCUAAUUUAAUAUUUACUCUUGAUUUGCUCCGAUUUAACUAUUGUAUUGUAAAGGAAAUAGUCCACAUUUAUAAAGUGCCUACACCACCAUUGAAAAAGUUAAUUUUGAAUCUAAAUUCGAUUUUAUUUGUAACAAUUUUGUAUUAGACUAUUAAUUUGUUCAUGAUAGUUUGUAAAAGAACUUUGUAUCUCUUGCAUACUGCGUUACUUACUAAUUUAAUGUAUGUGACUUUUGUAAUGGAUAUUAAUGUAAGAUAUAUUUCGAACUUUAUUUUUAUUUAAAUUUUUUAUUUUAAUAUUAUUAAUUCAAAAUCAAAAACUAAAAAAAUACAUUAGUUAUUCGGGGAUCGGUGACUCUCGGGGAUCCCCUGUUAUUAUUCGGGGAGGGGAUGAAGAUUCUCUCAAGUAAUUCUGACGGGGACGGAGAGGGGACGGGGACAUACGUAAAAUAUCGGGAAUAGAUAUGGGAAGAUUGGUCCUCUCUUCUUCCCUCCCCAUUGACAUCCCUACUAAAUAUUAGUGAGAGAGAAUUUUUAAAUUAACGUAUAAUAUAUUUUUUAACUGUACUGAAAAAUGUGUGUAUAUAGAGAGAAAGGGGACUGUAAUAGAAUCCGGUUUACAAUAUACGUGUAAAUUGUAAUAAUUUGAAAAAAAAAAAAAAGUUAAUUGAAUCUUUUCUUGGACAUUAAUUAAUGCAACAAAUUCUGAGUCCAGCACACAGGGCUGUGUGUGAUUCCAUCUAUGCACACUUCACUGUGUCCGGCAUCAAGUAUCAAAAAGAAAAGAAGGCUUGCGUAUCAGCACUAAUACAAAACAAAAGUUGAGGGGGGGCCAAGACCUUUCAAAAUAAUCGAUGAGGGUAGGGACAUUGUUAAUGUCCACCACAAAUCGUCCCUCAAGAAAGUACAAAACAUGCAUAUACUGGCCCCGCACUUAAUUUAAUCAGUCUUGAACAUGACCAAAUAUAGUAAAAAUAUUCAUGAUUAAGGGCAAGGACAAAUCAGAUGAAAACAUUCACGUCACAUUAUUAUUAAUCUCUAAUUAAUUGCUUAAGUUUUAAUAUAGAUUUUUACCAAAACACGACCAAUUUCGUUCCAAACAUGAAGCCACGUCGGCUUAUUCUCCCUUUGCAUAAAGAUUGAGUCACUAAAUCGAGUAGCUAUUUCUCGUACAAAGACAAAGUAGCUUCACAACUUUGAUGCAUUUUCUGCUCGGUGGUCUUGCAGUAAUAUAUUAACCUCAAAUUUCUAAGGUUUUGACUUAGACAAGGUGUAUUUAUGGCACUUCUAUUUCAGUCGUGUUAAUUUAGCUGAUGCAAUUUUAAAUAAUUAAAAAAAUCUUUUUGGUUUUAGCUUUACUUUAUUUUUUUUGGAAGUCUUGCCUCUUAAUCGAAUACAAUAAAUUAUUAAAAGUAGAAUAAGGAAAAAAAAAGAGAAUAAUAAAUUCUUUUUUCAAAGUUGCGUGAAGUGUGAUUCUAUUUCCUAGUUUUAAGAUAAAAUUUAAGAUAUUUAAUAUUAUUUAUUUAUAAUUUUCAACUAUUUAUAUUGAUACCAAUAUUAUAAAUCUAUAAAACCCUCCUCCACUCUUAGUCUCCAACAACCAUGUUAUGUGUAUAUAUAUAUUUGGUUGUUUCUUUCGUUGUUGAAAGUUUUCAUAUAAAUCUAUAAAAUGUGAAAGUCUUGAGUGAUAUUGAUAUCAUGCCACCUCAUCGUCACCUUACCAUCCAAUUGGAUAACACCACAUAUACACUUAUCACUAAGUUUAAAAUAACCAUAGUACAUUACGUAUAUGCAUGUGGUGGUAUGUAAUUAGAUGAUGAGGUGAUGAUGUGGUGGAGUCCCUACCAUCUAAGACUUUCUCAACUUCUAUUGAGGCCACAACACUCACAACAUUUUGGUCAAUACUAUGUUUUUAAGUCCCUCAAAUUUGUACGAAUGAGCCUUUGGUCCAAUGGGAGAAGUCUUGCACUUAUAAUAUUGAGUGUAAGGAUUCGAGCCUCCAUCAAAGCAUUAUGAAAGUUAGUUUCAGUACUCCCUCAAUUAUCAACUAAUUGAGUAGAGAUAAUUUCUCACUUACGAAAUGUGAGUGGAGCAUUAUGUUAUUUGGUACAAUUGUAAAUAUUGUAAUUGCAAUGUCUGAUAUAAUAUCAGUAACAAUCGCUAUAUAACAAAAUUUUAAAAAAAGUCCUUCAAAUUUGUAAAAUAUUUUCUCAUUUACUUAUUUCAAUAAUUUCUUUAUUAUUUAGAUGAGUGAAGUCGCAUAAGACCCCUCAUCAUAAUUUAUCAUUUAUUUAUUAAAAAAAAUCUAAGAAAGUUAGGUUAGAGGGGGUCAACGGUUUGUCGUUGCCACAAGCCGGUGGGUUAAAUUUAUAGCCAGCACAAAUGCAGAAGGUAGCCCAAGGAUUUAAUGCGAUGUCUAAUGUUGUAAAUGAUUCUGUGUAAAAUUAAACUACUGCACGAUGUCUGUAAUAAAAUGAUUGUGUGUAAAAUUAAAGUGCUGGUUCCAUAAUUUCUAUGCCUUUGACGAAUUUUCGCAUCUCACCACACUGUCUUUUGGGGAAAUAGAAAAGCUCGGUAAUUGAAGUGAUAUGUAUUGGAAAAAAAACAAAAGAAAAAAAAAUUAUGUUAAUUUCCCACUUCCAGAGGCAAUUCCUCGGAUACCAUAAUAAUUCUAUAAAGAGAAAUCAUGUAAUAACAGAUUAGUCGAUAGCUUGUAAUUUUCGCGUGGUAAAAAUUAAUACAAACCUUUAUGAUAAAUGUAAAUAAUAAGGUUAUGGCUAUGUUGGAGCCGAUUUAUGAUGGAGUACGAAUCUCAACCACACACGCAAAGUGAUAAAUAAUAAAAAAAUCAUUAUAACUUUAAUCGUAUGGUUAUGAAGAAAUAUUAUACCUUAGAGCGAUUUCAAUAUAAUCGGACUCAAAUAAUAAAUGCGUAACAAAUGUAAAUAAUAAUGCAAGCACGCAUGUCUUAUGUAAUUAAUAAAUGUAAUAUUAGGAAAUUCUUAGUAACUCUAACAAAUUAAAAAAGCCUAAAAUCAUUCCCCAAAAUCCCUUAAUAACCCAAUCAAAGGAAAUGACACUUCUUAUUUUCUUACUAACAAUGACCAUAACUAUUAAUAAAGAGAAUCCGAAGGGUUACACAGCUAGCCUUGCAACCUACUUAAAAGUCAAUGAUCAAUCCUUGAUUAGUAAUUAUAUUUAUGUAGAAGAAUGAAUAUCAACAUGCAGCUGAUAGGACUGGCAAAGUCAGUGAGUUGGUUGUCAAACUUUUCAAGAUUCAAUAAUUAGAGCAGGUGAUAAUGCAAGCAUGAUGAUCUUCAUUCUUCUACAUAAAAGAUUUAUCUAUCUUACAUUUAAUGUAAGAUACAUCUCCUCACAAAUUGAUCGGUGACACUAGGACGGCAAAACUAUCAACUAAUUAAAGUAUUGAUGUCUGGAUUAAUACACCGAAAAAAAAUAAUAAUUUGAUUUCUUCUUCCGUUGAAUAUACCUUCCCAUGCAUUAUCUGUUUAGAUGACUACUUGAUACGCUACAAAAUUUCAAAGUAUCUACCUACAGAAAAGAAUAUUAUGAUGGCUUAGAAAAUCGAGUAAACAUUUGAUACGUGUCAUCAAGAAAGUAAUCUUUCUGCCCCAAAUUCCAGAGCCCGUACUGGCAAUCGGAGCGAGAGAAGAGAUGGGAAAAGUUGGUUUAGCGCCAGUUAUUGGUAUGAUGAUGGCAGAGUGCGCUCAUGUUGGGCUGAUGUUCGCCGGCAAAGCAGCCAUGUCUGAUGGGAUGAGCAACCUGGUCUUCGUUUUUUACUCCAAAGCAUUCGCCUCUCUCGUUCUCCUCCCCGCUUCACUUCUCUUCCACAGGUUACUUAUCCUUCGUUAGUCUCAAAGAUCAAAGCUUCUCAUGUUUUAAUCAAUUCAUCAUCUCUAUGCAGAUCACAAAUUCCUCCACUCACUUGGCCUAUUCUAUCUGCUUUCUUCCUACUUGGCUUUCUUGGGUAUGCUAAGUUUUACUUCUUUGACCAUGUGGUUGGUUUCUUUUUGUUUGAUUAUAAUAAAUUUUCCUGCUUUUACUCAUUCACAUGCAGCAUAUACUGUGUCACAGCGUUAUUAAUAAUCAAAGAUGUUGUUUGUUAAAGGGUUUGUUGUUUUAUUUUACUUCAAGCAGUACUUCGUCUCAGUUUUUUGGUUACGCUGGGAUUUACUAUAGCUCACCGACACUUUCCACGGCUUUGCUUAAUCUUGUUCCGGGUUUUACCUUCAUUCUUGCCAUCAUUUUCAGGUAAUGCUCCCCCUUUGCUAUGAUCAUUUUGACUUUCUUUUGAUUUUGUUCAUUGGAGUCCGUUUGGGAAGUUUAUGUUACUGAUGCUAAUUAAUUGCAACCAAUAAUAUAAUCAGUUCUCUCUCUUCAUUUGUAUGAGUGUCUGAUUCAGUACUUCAAUUGCAUAAUUAAGUUUUGUGAGUCCCAAUUACAGGCUUGCAAUUACAUAUUAGACAUACUGCUGAAAUUUGCUAAGAGUGUAUUCCAGUUACAAAAUAAUGAUUAUCCAGUCUGAUUCGUGGAUUAGAGUAGUAAGCUAUUUGUAAUUAAUCCACCAUGCAGGGACAGAUAGGUCAUAAUGUUACUCCUAAUUUAGUGGAUUCUUUUGUUGCCCAAAAUCACAUCUUUUGGCGUUUUCUCAUUUGAGCUCCUCUGAUAGUCAUAUCAUCUGAAGAGUUCUUCAGCGACUGGAUGGUUGAGCUCCUUUUAGUUUCCUUUCUCUGUCAGACUUUUCUAUCUCAAAAAGUUUUAACUCAUGUUUUAAUUAAUGAAUGUGCUAAGCAUAUGGUAGAAAACUUUGGAAGAGUAACAGACUCCUAAAUUGCUUAGAGUGAUAUUUUUAUUGCUACCGAUGGAUAUAAAAUGAUUCAACUUCGUGAUUUCAGGGUGGAAAAACUAGAUUGGAGAAGCUCCAGUAGCCUAGCCAAAUCAGUGGGAACCAUAGUGUUAAUUACAGGGGCAUUUAUCAUGACAUACUAUAAGGGACCCCACCUUCUGAUGACAUCUUUGCCACCAAACUUGUCCCUUCAAGUUUUCGUGCCGCAAACAAACUGGGUCUUUGGUGGAUUGCUCCUUGCCGUAGAUUGUGUGUUCACUUCAGCAUGGCUUAUUGUACAGGUUAGAUUCUUAAGAAAUAGCAAGAGUGAGAACCAGUUAUAAGAUUGACUUAUUUUUCGUACAUUUCAGGCUUCAAUCCUUAAGAAAUUCUCAGCUGAGUUCAUCGUAGUCUUUUUUUACUGCUUCUUUGUGGCCAUUCAAUCUGCAAUACUCUGUUUGGUUAUGGAAAGAGACCUAAGCAGCUGGAGCUUAAAACCUGGUGUGAGGUUAGUUGCUGUACUAUACUCGGUAAGUAGAAGUAAAAAGAAAAAGAUUGUUUGUGUACAUGCUUAAAUUAUAUUCACUUUUUGUCUUGAAACCUUAAUAUGGAAAAUGCAGGCUGUUUUUGGCUCUGCAUUCCAAGUUGGUGUUUGUACCUGGUGCCUGCACAGAACUGGGCCUGUAUUUGUAGCUAUGUUCAAGCCCUUGGGUGUUGUAAUUUCAGCUGCGGUUGGCACCAUCUUCCUAGGAGAGACAGUCUAUCUUGGGAGGUACCUUUUUUUAAUUUUGGGUGGUGUUUUGACUUGUAUGAAGUAUAAGAAUUUUUGUUUAAUCAUGUUACUGGUCAGAUUUCUCUUAUUUCCUGUUCUGAUUUUCUCCUCCUCUUCUAUUAUAAGAAAGUGAUCAUUCCAUUUUUAAUGUAAUGCAGAUUUAUUGGAGCAGCUGUAAUUGUUACUGGUUUUUAUUCUGUGAUGUGGGGAAAAGCCAAAGAAGGGAACUCAGGUGUGGAAACUGGAGUAAGAAGCUUAGAAUCAAGCAGCCAAAAGGACCCCCUCUUGCAAAACAACUUUGAAGAAACAUAAAAGUUUGGCAAAAGAGAAAAGGGCCUACAGAAAAAAAUUGGUAAUUUUUACCAUCUUUAUCUGGAAAAUAGAAAGAGGAAAAUGUUUAGAAACAUUUAUCUGGAAAGCUACCUCUGUGCAGAAAUUAAGGUUUGAGCUUAAAAUGGACUUGGUUUUGCUUAUCUUGAGGUCCAGCCCCACUGCCAAUUUAGUUGUGAUGGACCAGCUCUAAAUAGCUUUCAUCAUUCAUCCUUUAAAAUGUUCUACCUUUAUACAGAUAGUCCUAGAAGCAUUUAAUCCAUGACCUAUGAUACCACUUCAACCAUAUACGUAUUUCUUUUUGUUAGAAAUUAUGGGUCAACAUGCAGAAUGUAAAGAUAAUUUCUGUUAAUUUUUGGCGCCUCUGUUCAUGAGGAGACAAUUAAUGCCU